This 72-nucleotide transfer RNA is filed under the name Sphingobacteriales bacterium. Its description in RNAcentral is "tRNA-His". It matches the Rfam family "tRNA". Rfam says of the family: Transfer RNA (tRNA) molecules are approximately 80 nucleotides in length. Their secondary structure includes four short double-helical elements and three loops (D, anti-codon, and T loops). Lineage: Bacteria; Pseudomonadati; Bacteroidota; Sphingobacteriia; Sphingobacteriales. The record is from RNAcentral.
GCGUUUGUAGCUCAAUGGUAGAGCAGUGCUUUGUGGCAGCAAAGGUUGUGGGUUCGAGUCCCAUUAGACGCC